Molecule: non-coding RNA, 229 nt
Organism: Pelobates cultripes (western spadefoot toad)
Lineage: Eukaryota; Metazoa; Chordata; Amphibia; Anura; Pelobatidae
Source: the annotation of a GenBank genome assembly
UUUUUAACUUUGUAGUUGUGUCUUUACACAAUAUAGAACUGUAUAUUAAUGCUUCUGUAUAUGACGCGAUCACAAUAACACUUAUUUUUCACUUUUUUUUAAAAAAAAAUCAGGCUAAACAAAAAUUGGUAAUUCACAAUAUGCCAUCUGGAAAGCACAUGAAAGGAUGCUGUAUGAUUAAAAAGAACACACUGCAUGAAGGUCCUGUUCACUAGAGUGUGUAGUCAUG